Molecule: ribosomal RNA, 492 nt
Filed under: uncultured bacterium
Lineage: Bacteria
Description: partial 16S ribosomal RNA
Rfam family: Bacterial small subunit ribosomal RNA
Source: RNAcentral
AGUGAACGCUGGCGGUAGGCCUAACACAUGCAAGUCGAACGGCAGCACAGUAAGAGCUUGCUCUUACGGGUGGCGAGUGGCGGACGGGUGAGGAAUACAUCGGAAUCUACUUUUUCGUGGGGGAUAACGUAGGGAAACUUACGCUAAUACCGCAUACGACCUACGGGUGAAAGCAGGGGAUCUUCGGACCUUGCGCGAUUGAAUGAGCCGAUGUCGGAUUAGCUAGUUGGCGGGGUAAAGGCCCACCAAGGCGACGAUCCGUAGCUGGUCUGAGAGGAUGAUCGGCCACACUGGAACUGAGACACGGUCCAGAGUCCUACGGGAGGCAGCAGUGGGGAAUAUUGGACAAUGGGCGCAAGCCUGAUCCAGCCAUCCCGCGUGGGUGAAGAAGGCCUUCGGGUUGUAAAGCCCUUUUGUUGGGAAAGAAAAGCAGCAGGUUAAUACCCCGCUGUUCUGACGGUACCCAAAGAAUAAGCACCGGCUAACUUCGUG